GGUCGCGGUCCCCCGCGCUCCCGGAACUUUGGGCUCCCGGGUGGCGCCCUCCAGCCCGCGCCCUGUCGUCCCGCUUCCGGCCCGCGGCGAUCCCCGGCGACCGUUGUGCGGAGCCUCGCAUCUGCCGGGCGUUGCGGAGCGCGGAGCCCGCGGCCCCAUGAGGUCCUCCGAGGAUGAAGAUGCAUUCAAAUGCCAACAGAAGUAUCCAUAAUCUAGAGGAUAAACAUAGCUAAAAAAUCUCUUCAAUGAGGCAGAGCACACUUAGAAGCUCCUGACAUUCAUUUCCGUACUGCCACUGCUACCCACAGGAUGGGAGAGGAGGCGGCCAAUGAGGAGGAGUGGAAUGGUGCGAGCACAGCUGAAAGAACACGAAUGCCGCGAGCACUGUUACCCGCUCCCAUCUUCACAGCGUUCCUGCAGUGACAGCAGAGUUUUUCUCCUCUGAGGUACUGGUGAUUAAGUCCUUGUGAGAAAAAGCUAUAGACCUCCAAAUAAAACUGAAAGAAAAAAGCUUUCCCAACAGAUGGCAAAUUAAAACUUAAGGUAACAUAUCGACUUCAAGAACUCAUAACUCUUUAAUAACUGAAUCCAGACACAUCGAACAGAAUGAAAUUGCAAAGAAUUCAGAAGUCUUGAAAAGUCUUGUUUUGAAAAUGAUCAGUAACCUCCAGAAAAUUUAAAUGAACAAAAUGAAUUAAGCUAAAACCUGGACAUAAGCAUCAAGAACUUGGAUGAAAAUUUCAACUUGGGAAAAAUAGUAAUAUAAGAACAUCCAAAGCUUAAUAAAUCAAAAUAUUCCAAGGAAAACAUCAAGUAGACCAGGUUGCACAAAGACUAUGAAGUACUGACAGUAGGAGAGAAGAGUUGUUACACUCAGAUGACAAAAAAGUUCAAGAUGGUGAAAUUCCUUCCUGUAGCUUAUCUCAAUUCUCAAGGCCCAGUCAUACACAACUCUCCAAAUCUGCAGGUGCUC
Molecule: long non-coding RNA, 973 nt
Organism: Dipodomys ordii (Ord's kangaroo rat)
Lineage: Eukaryota; Metazoa; Chordata; Mammalia; Rodentia; Heteromyidae
Exons: 5
Source: RefSeq, a predicted model, not a curated record